This 468-nucleotide ribosomal RNA is filed under the name uncultured bacterium. RNAcentral's name for it is "partial 16S ribosomal RNA". It matches the Rfam family "Bacterial small subunit ribosomal RNA", at positions 28 to 507 of the family's 1533-position model. The record is from RNAcentral.
GACGAACGCUGGCGGCGUGCUUAACACAUGCAAGUCGAACGGAAAGGCCCUGCUUUUGUGGGGUGCUCGAGUGGCGAACGGGUGAGUAACACGUGAGUAACCUGCCCUUGUCUUUGGGAUAACUUCAGGGAACUGGGGCUAAUACCGGAGAGGAGCUCCUGCUGCAUGGUGGGGGAUGGAAAGUUUCGGCGGUGGGGGAUGGACUCGCGGCUUAUCAGCUUGUUGGUGGGGUAGUGGCUUACCAAGGCUUUGACGGAUAGCCGGCCUGAGAGGGUGACCGGCCACAUUGGGACUGGGGUACGGCCCAGACUCCAACGGGAGGCAGCAGUCGGGAAUAUUGCACAAUGGGCGGAAGCCUGAUGCAGCAACGCCGCGUGCGGGAUGACGGCCUUCGCGUUGUAAACCGCUUUCGCCUGAGACGAAGCGUGAGUGACGGUAAUGGAUAAAGAAGCACCGGCUAACUACGUG